AGUGAACGCUGGCGGUAGGCCUAACACACGCAAGUCGAACGGCAGCACAGUAAGAGCUUGCUCUUACGGGUGGCGAGUGGCGGACGGGUGAGGAAUACAUCGGAAUCUACUUUUUCGUGGGGGAUAACGUAGGGAAACUUACGCUAAUACCGCAUACGACCUACGGGCGAAAGCAGGGGAUCUUCGGACCUUGCGCGAUUGAAUGAGCCGAUGUCGGAUUAGCUAGUUGGCGGGGUAAAGGCCCACCAAGGCGACGAUCCGUAGCUGGUCUGAGAGGAUGAUCAGCCACACUGGAAAUGAGACACGGUCCAGACUCCUACGGGAGGCAGCAGUGGGGAAUAUUGGACAAUGGGCGCAAGCCUGAUCCAGCCAUACCGCGUGGGUGAAGAAGGCCUUCGGGUUGUAAAGCCCUUUUGUUGGGAAAGAAAAGCAGCAGGUUAAUACCCCGCUGUUCUGACGGUACCCAAAGAAUAAGCACCGGCUAACUUCGUG
Molecule: ribosomal RNA, 492 nt
Filed under: uncultured bacterium
Lineage: Bacteria
Description: partial 16S ribosomal RNA
Rfam family: Bacterial small subunit ribosomal RNA
Source: RNAcentral